This 71-nucleotide non-coding RNA is filed under the name pig gut metagenome. The record is from RNAcentral.
CGCAGGGUGCGUCGCCUGCUGAGAUAAGACCCGCGAACCUGAUCCGGGUAAUGCCGGCGGAGGAAGGAACA